AUUUUCAGAUAAUCGCGGUUUGACUUGAUCAAGCUGAGGAAAGUCCAUGCUCACACAGGCUGCGAUGCCUGUAGUGUUCGUGCCUAGCGAAACCAUAAGCUAGGGUAUUUUUUAGGAAAUAACGGCAGGAAAAAAAGCUAAGGUGAAAACUAUGCUUGAGUACCCUUGAAAGUGCCACAGUGACGAAGCGCUUAAAGAAAUUUAAGCGGUGGAACGCGGUAAACCCCUCGAGUGAGCAACCCAAACAAUGGUAGGGGCGCUUUUUGUAACGGAAAUGAACGGGACAAAGAGGCAAUGUAAAUUGCAGAUAGAUGAUUAUCCAGAUUGUUUUUCCCUGAAAAAACAAUCGGACAGAACAUGGCUUAUAGAA
RNAcentral lists this RNase P RNA (370 nucleotides) under Enterococcus sp. RNAcentral describes it as "RNase P RNA component class B". It matches the Rfam family "Bacterial RNase P class B". From Rfam's summary of the family: Ribonuclease P (RNase P) is a ubiquitous endoribonuclease, found in archaea, bacteria and eukarya as well as chloroplasts and mitochondria. Its best characterised activity is the generation of mature 5'-ends of tRNAs by cleaving the 5'-leader elements of precursor-tRNAs. RNAcentral also lists the same sequence under 1 other name. Lineage: Bacteria; Bacillati; Bacillota; Bacilli; Lactobacillales; Enterococcaceae. The record is from RNAcentral.